UACGGGGGGGGCGAGCGUUGUUCGGAAUCACUGGGCGUAAAGGGCGCGUAGGCGGCCCGCACAAGUCUGCGGUGAAAACCCCCGGCUUAACCGGGGGCCGGCCGUGGAAACUGUCGGGCUAGAGGCCGGGAGAGGGCAGCGGAAUUCCCGGUGUAGCGGUGAAAUGCGCAGAUAUCAGGAAGAACACCCGUGGCGAAGGCGGCUCUCUGGGACGGUACUGACGCUGAGACGCGAAAGCGUGGGGAGCGAACAGG
Molecule: ribosomal RNA, 254 nt
Filed under: uncultured bacterium
Lineage: Bacteria
Description: partial 16S ribosomal RNA
Rfam family: Bacterial small subunit ribosomal RNA
Source: RNAcentral